GCGGAGGGGUUCCACACGUACCCAUCCCGAACACGACCGUUAAGCCCUCCAGCGCCGAUGGUACUUGGACCGAAGGGUCCUGGGAGAGUAGGACGUUGCCAAGC
Molecule: ribosomal RNA, 104 nt
Filed under: Paenibacillus turicensis
Lineage: Bacteria; Bacillati; Bacillota; Bacilli; Caryophanales; Paenibacillaceae
Also listed under: 3 other names
Source: RNAcentral